Molecule: non-coding RNA, 223 nt
Organism: Pelobates cultripes (western spadefoot toad)
Lineage: Eukaryota; Metazoa; Chordata; Amphibia; Anura; Pelobatidae
Source: the annotation of a GenBank genome assembly
UCUAAGAAUGGAGUUUGCUACUUCACAUGAUGCAGAGGCAGGCUUGAUUCUGGAAUGAUGAAUCCACGGGUGAUCUCUGUAACUUUCACGGUGCACUACUCAGCAUGUGGUCUUGGUUAUCACUUUGGUGGCUGGAUAGGCCUCUGGCCAUCCUGAAAACAUGUCUACUAUAAUUAGUGCAUAUUUGAACCAGCCACUCUUUGGCAUUCUGGAUGUAGUCAAC